UACAGAGGUCUCAAGCGUUGUUCGGAUUCAUUGGGCGUAAAGGGUGCGUAGGCGGCGCGGUAAGUCGGGUGUGAAAUCUCGGGGCUUAACUCCGAAACUGCAUUCGAUACUGCCGUGCUUGAGGACUGGAAAGGAGACUGGAAUUUACGGUGUAGCGGUGAAAUGCGUAGAUAUCGUAAGGAAGACCAGUGGCGAAGGCGGGUCUCUGGACAGUUCCUGACGCUGAGGCACGAAGGUCAGGGGGAGCAAACGGG
Molecule: ribosomal RNA, 254 nt
Filed under: uncultured bacterium
Lineage: Bacteria
Description: partial 16S ribosomal RNA
Rfam family: Bacterial small subunit ribosomal RNA
Source: RNAcentral